GAGGUAUCAGAAGUGCGAAUGCUGACAUAAGUAACGAUAAAGCGGGUGAAAAGCCCGCUCGCCGGAAGACCAAGGGUUCCUGUCCAACGUUAAUCGGGGCAGGGUGAGUCGACCCCUAAGGCGAGGCCGAAAGGCGUAGUCGAUGGGAAACAGGUUAAUAUUCCUGUACUUGGUGUUACUGCGAAGGGGGGACGGAGAAGGCUAUGUUGGCCGGGCGACGGUUGUCCCGGUUUAAGCGUGUAGGCUGAUUUUCCAGGUAAAUCCGGAAAAUCAAGGCUGAGGCGUGAUGACGAGGCACUACGGUGCUGAAGCAACAAAUGCCCUGCUUCCAGGAAAAGCCUCUAAGCAUCAGGUAACAUCAAAUCGUACCCCAAACCGACACAGGUGGUCAGGUAGAGAAUACCAAGGCGCUUGAGAGAACUCGGGUGAAGGAACUAGGCAAAAUGGUGCCGUAACUUCGGGAGAAGGCACGCUGAUAUGUAGGUGAAGUCCCUCGCGGAUGGAGCUGAAAUCAGUCGAAGAUACCAGCUGGCUGCAACUGUUUAUUAAAAACACAGCACUGUGCAAACACGAAAGUGGACGUAUACGGUGUGACGCCUGCCCGGUGCCGGAAGGUUAAUUGAUGGGGUUAGCGCAAGCGAAGCUCUUGAUCGAAGCCCCGGUAAACGGCGGCCGUAACUAUAACGGUCCUAAGGUAGCGAAAUUCCUUGUCGGGUAAGUUCCGACCUGCACGAAUGGCGUAAUGAUGGCCAGGCUGUCUCCACCCGAGACUCAGUGAAAUUGAACUCGCUGUGAAGAUGCAGUGUACCCGCGGCAAGACGGAAAGACCCCGUGAACCUUUACUAUAGCUUGACACUGAACAUUGAGCCUUGAUGUGUAGGAUAGGUGGGAGGCUUUGAAGUGUGGACGCCAGUCUGCAUGGAGCCGACCUUGAAAUACCACCCUUUAAUGUUUGAUGUUCUAACGUUGGCCCCUGAUCGGGGUUGCGGACAGUGUCUGGUGGGUAGUUUGACUGGGGCGGUCUCCUCCUAAAGAGUAACGGAGGAGCACGAAGGUUGGCUAAUCCUGGUCGGACAUCAGGAGGUUAGUGCAAUGGCAUAAGCCAGCUUGACUGCGAGCGUGACGGCGCGAGCAGGUGCGAAAGCAGGUCAUAGUGAUCCGGUGGUUCUGAAUGGAAGGGCCAUCGCUCAACGGAUAAAAGGUACUCCGGGGAUAACAGGCUGAUACCGCCCAAGAGUUCAUAUCGACGGCGGUGUUUGGCACCUCGAUGUCGGCUCAUCACAUCCUGGGGCUGAAGUAGGUCCCAAGGGUAUGGCUGUUCGCCAUUUAAAGUGGUACGCGAGCUGGGUUUAGAACGUCGUGAGACAGUUCGGUCCCUAUCUGCCGUGGGCGCUGGAGAACUGAGGGGGGCUGCUCCUAGUACGAGAGGACCGGAGUGGACGCAUCACUGGUGUUCGGGUUGUCAUGCCAAUGGCACUGCCCGGUAGCUAAAUGCGGAAGAGAUAAGUGCUGAAAGCAUCUAAGCACGAAACUUGCCCCGAGAUGAGUUCUCCCUGACUCCCUGAGAGUCCUGAAGGAACGUUGAAGACGACGACGUUGAUAGGCCGGGUGUGUAAGCGCAGCGAUGCGUUGAGCUAACCGGUACUAAUGAACCGUGAGGCUUAACCUU
Molecule: ribosomal RNA, 1669 nt
Filed under: Escherichia coli KTE170
Lineage: Bacteria; Pseudomonadati; Pseudomonadota; Gammaproteobacteria; Enterobacterales; Enterobacteriaceae
Description: bacterial LSU rRNA
Rfam family: Bacterial large subunit ribosomal RNA
Source: RNAcentral